AGCCCCUAGCGCAGACGGCGGAGAGCAGAGAGGGAGCGCGCCUUGGCUCGCUGGCCUUGGCGGCGGCUCCUCAGGAGAGCUGGGGCGCCCACGAGAGGAUCCCUCACCCGGGUCUCUCCUCAGGGAUGACAUCAUCCGUCCACCUCCUUGUCUUCAAGGACCACCUCCUCUCCAUGCUGAGCUGCUGCCAAGGGGCCUGCUGCCCAUCUACACCUCACGAGGGCACUAGGAGCACGGUUUCCUGGAUCCCACCAACAUACAAAGCAGCCACUCACUGACCCCCAGGACCAGGAUGGCAAAGGAUGAAGAGGACCGGAACUGACCAGCCAGCUGUCCCUCUUACCUAAAGACUUAAACCAAUGCCCUAGUGAGGGGGCAUUGGGCAUUAAGCCCUGACCUUUGCUAUGCUCAUACUUUGACUCUAUGAGUACUUUCCUAUAAGUCUUUGCUUGUGUUCACCUGCUAGCAAACUGGAGUGUUUCCCUCCCCAAGGGGGUGUCAGUCUUUGUCGACUGACUCUGUCAUCACCCUUAUGAUGUCCUGAAUGGAAGGAUCCCUUUGGGAAAUUCUCAGGAGGGGGACCUGGGCCAAGGGCUUGGCCAGCAUCCUGCUGGCAACUCCAAGGCCCUGGGUGGGCUUCUGGAAUGAGCAUGCUACUGAAUCACCAAAGGCACGCCCGACCUCUCUGAAGAUCUUCCUAUCCUUUUCUGGGGGAAUGGGGUCGAUGAGAGCAACCUCCUAGGGUUGUUGUGAGAAUUAAAUGAGAUAAAAGAGGCCUCAGGCAGGAUCUGGCAUAGAGGAGGUGAUCAGCAAAUGUUUGUUGAAAAGGUUUGACAGGUCAGUCCCUUCCCACCCCUCUUGCUUGUCUUACUUGUCUUAUUUAUUCUCCAACAGCACUCCAGGCAGCCCUUGUCCACGGGCUCUCCUUGCAUCAGCAGGUUCCCAGUGCCCCCGACAAGCCCCUGCUGGUGUCUCCAUCUCCUGCCAAGCAUCCUCCAGUGCCUCCUCCUGUGGGCCUGGCCUCAGGGCUAUGGACAGACUCCUGUCCCAUCCCAGAGACCCCUCGUGAUCGUGCCCUGUAGUCACCCCACUCCACCGAAAAGUAAACUGCAGGCACGUGGGCCGUGGCCCGGCUGGGUCGGCUGAAGAACUGCGGAUGGAAGCUGCGGAAGAGGCCCUGAUGGGGCCCACCAUCCCGGACCCAAGUCUUCUUCCUGGCGGGCCUCUCGUCUCCUUCCUGGUUUGGGCGGAAGCCAUCACCUGGAUGCCUACGUGGGAAGGGACCUCGAAUGUGGGACCCCAGCCCCUCUCCAGCUCGAAAUCCCUCCACAGCCACGGGGACACCCUGCACCUAUUCCCACGGGACAGGCUGGACCCAGAGACUCUGGACCCGGGGCCUCCCCUUGAGUAGAGACCCGCCCUCUGACUGAUGGACGCCGCUGACCUGGGGUCAGACCCGUGGGCUGGACCCCUGCCCACCCCGCAGGAACCCUGAGGCCUAGGGGAGCUGUUGAGCCUUCAGUGUCUGCAUGUGGGAAGUGGGCUCCUUCACCUACCUCACAGGGCUGUUGUGAGGGGCGCUGUGAUGCGGUUCCAAAGCACAGGGCUUGGCGCACCCCACUGUGCUCUCAAUAAAUGUGUUUCCUGUCUUAACAAAAAAAAAAAAAAAAAAAAAAAAAAAAAAAAA
RNAcentral lists this long non-coding RNA (1687 nucleotides) under Homo sapiens (human). RNAcentral's name for it is "maternally expressed 3, transcript variant 7 (MEG3)". The stretch from base 536 to 640 matches the Rfam family "Maternally expressed 3 conserved region 2". Lineage: Eukaryota; Metazoa; Chordata; Mammalia; Primates; Hominidae. The record is from RNAcentral.